CAAAUAUCUGUUCAGUCCAUUGGUGUGGAUGACCUGGAUGAUGAGGAUGAUGACGGGGGGACCACCUUGGGAAGAAGGGGAGUAAUGCAUACACGCUCCUCAACUCUUCCUCAAUGAAAUGGUUGACAAAGACCAUGACCCCAUGGCUAGUACAAGAGGCCCACCAUUGCUGAUCGGAAGAUGAAUAUCGUGCCCGUCGCAUCAUGCAGGUCAUAUCCCUGGCGAAUGGAUCCGUUCGCUGGCCAGUGAGUGGUGGCGCACCUUGCCACUCUGGCUUUGUAAAAUACUCAUGUUAGGUUGAUGAAGGCUAUGGCCUGUCAUCUCUUGAGUGUGUUGCUUUCUCAUGUGGCUGUGUGCAGUGCUUGGUCAGCUGUCAAAAACCACACGCACUCUCAAACUGGUUAUUGUAGCCUAAUACUUUAGAUUUUAAAUUAGAUUUUGAUGAGAUACUGAGGCUGGCCUUGCAUUGGUGUAUGUCUGGAUGUAUGAAUGCACAUUUUGUAUUUCAUAUGGAGAAACAAAAAUUUACUUAAAUUCUGAGAUGUUUUCAUUAGUGUUAUUUUUUUACAUAUCUAGUAUCAACUUUGAUACAUGUUACUGUAAAAGGUCAUUAUAAGAAAUGGGGCCAAUAAUGGUAUAAGAGUACAGUAUCAGGAAGACCACAAAGGCCCAUCCACUACUGCUCGGGACCACCGGCCAGGAAUCACCACCUCUACUAAUUUACAAUCUGUUUUCUUCCCCCUGCAGUGUACCUACCUGCUGCCUCCUGUGAAGUUUCAUCCAGAGUCAUGAUCAUGAGCCUCUCAAACUCAUUAGUUACAGGAGUACAUUUCAUAGGAUCUAGUUUUAGGUUGUACUGAUAAGGUCAAUAUUAACUUAGGAUUAUGGUGAUGUUUUAAACUUGAACAUUUGGAAUUGUUACAACUCUACUUCAAAUUUAUCAAACACUUAACUCUAAUACAGUACUUAUCUUAAUUUUUAAAGGGUUAGCAAAGUCUUUAGCUGGCAGUAUUGUUGCCAUUACAGUAUCUUGAAAACAAAACUGUCCAAGUAUCUCUAUAUACUGUACUUUUGUAUGGUGACUUGUGUAUGCAUGUAUGCUUUUCAUUCACUCAUAAAUAAUAGUUGACAUAAACAUAUUAAUUAGUAGUUUUCAGAAAGAUUGUCAGUAUAUGAUAUGUGAGUUCAUUAGAAAAUAAGCUUAUAAAUUCGAUAUUGAAAUUUUAAAAGAUGUUAGUUUUAUUGGAGCGUAGUGACCAACGAUUAAUAUCCUGGUUGUUGACAAGCUGAAUGAAUAAACUACAGCUAAGAAAAAUAGUAUCGCUGAGAACUACAUUUAAAGGUGCAGAGAGUUAGGCCUUGAUAGAUUUAUUAGGUGAAGUUGUCUAGCUUCCAUAACAAGGUUCACUGUUGGCAUCACCUGAAGGCCUCACCACUAAGAUCAUGACCACAUAGUAUAUUAUCACUUUACCUGACUUGGUGCACUACAUUCACCCAUUACAUUGGGAAUGACAUAUUGUUAGUUAUUUAAUAAAAAUCUGUUUGAUAAAGGGUCCUGGAGUACUGUAUGUGCAAGGUUAACUCUGUAAAGGGGGAAAGGGGUGAAAUGUGAUAGGAGGCUGAGAUUAAUUUGAAAGACAGAAUUUUUGAUAGUGUUUGGUCCAUUUAUGUAUCUAUAUACAGUACAGUACAUGGUAAACAAAUAUGGAUGGGAUAGAUGUGUCAUGAAAAGUUAUGGUAACAUCUGACUCACAUAGUAGUGUAUGGGUUGACACCACUUGGGUAGGAAGGGUUAGUAGUCAAGAGGCGUGGUGCCCACCUCACAGCACACAACACUAGAAUGACUCAACUCUUGAAUACUAUUUUAAUCCUGGAAAAAUAUAUACAGUACACAAAUGUGAAUUGUGUGAAAACAAAUACUUCGCUGAAUAUAAACAUGCAAGUUUAACUUAUUAGUGCAAGAAUUAUAAACAUUUUGUAAGUUAGCAAGAGUAAAAACAAUAUGUAGUGCAUAAACCAUGUCAUCCAUGUAUGUAGGAUAUUGACAUGAGGAAUACAAGCAACAGAGUUAUAAUGGUGAUUCACCAGGCUAAACAAUAGUAUGCGAUAUAUAUACUGUAAAUCUUAUUAUUUGUCAACAGAAAAAAUCACCUCCAAGAAUUAGAUUUAUUCACACAAUUCAUGUAGACAUUGUGCAUUGUAUUUACUAUGCACACAGUCAUACAAAUAAUGAACAUCCAUACAUGCAUGUAAAGUAUGUAUACAUCUAUACUGUAUGUUUAUAGAUAUGCUGGAUAUUAGUGAAGUUUAAUCUUGGAACAUUUGAAUUGUAGUGUGUUAAGUAUUAUUUGUCAGAUGGAAGUUGAUGGUAAACUUUGGAAGUCAGGUUAUUUAUGUAGUAUUGAAAUGUAGUUAUUGGGUAAUGUGAAUUUGAUGAUAGGUAGGAUUUAACUCCAUGUGAUAACAGAAAAUAAGUGAAGGAAUACUGGCACAGCGACCCUCAGUAACCCCAUGUAGAAUCACUUCAGUGUUAUCUAUUGUUCAGUAUACUCAGUUUUUUGGAUACAUGCACAUCAUAAGGUGUAUCACAAGGUAAUCACGACAGUACUGUGUAGUAAUGACUGGCAUUUGGUCACCAGUUUGUGUCAUAGUGGUGGCUGCAGCUGCUGAAGUUUUGGGUUAUUGUGGGGCUGACUGUUCUUAAAUGAUGAGAAAAAUUAGUAGAAAAAGAUGGUAGAAGUUGAAAAGAAGGAUAGAAAUAAAAAGAGCGAGGCUCCCAGGUAAAGCAUCGGAGACGGUGAAAGGAGUAAACAGGGUUAUGACAAGACUAAGAAGGAUCAGAAAAUGGGGGGGCCUGUUUCAUUAUGUGUGUGUGUUGUGUGAAAGGUACUACAGAAAGCCACUAAUCACAGAGAUUAUUUCUAGGGUUUCUUCCUCCUUGACAUAAGGGUGCGGCAGCUAGAGUAAUCUCCGGCACUACCACGAGGAAAAACACCGGACAUGAAUGCCAGAACUUAUGCCCAUAUUAUGCAAGAAGCGCGACUUAAGGGAAGAAGCACUUGUAGUACCAAUUAUAGUU
Homarus americanus (American lobster) is the source of this 3079-nucleotide long non-coding RNA. RefSeq lists it as uncharacterized. The record is from RefSeq and is a predicted model, not a curated record. NCBI's taxonomy places the organism in Eukaryota, Metazoa, Arthropoda, Malacostraca, Decapoda, Nephropidae. The transcript has 4 exons.